AAGGAAUAUUGGACAAUGGGCGGAAGCCUGAUCCAGCCAUGCCGCGUGAAGGAAGAAGGCGCUCAGCGUUGUAAACUUCUUUUGAAUGGGAACAAUAACCUCCACGAGUUGGGGGCUUGAGGGUACCAUUAGAAUAAGCACCGGCUAACUCCGUGCCAGCAGCCGCGGUAAUACGGAGGGUGCAAGCGUUAUCCGGAAUCACUGGGUUUAAAGGGUGCGUAGGCGGUUCGGUAAGUCAGUUGUGAAAUCUCUUGGCUUAACCAAUGAAAUUGCGAUUGAUACUGUCGGACUUGAAUCAGGUUGAGGUAGGCGGAAUGUGGCAUGUAGCGGUGAAAUGCAUAGAUAUGCCAUAGAACACCGAUUGCGAAGGCAGCUUGCUGGACCUGAAUUGACGCUGAGGCACGAAAGCGUGGGGAGCAAAC
This 422-nucleotide ribosomal RNA is filed under the name uncultured bacterium. Its description in RNAcentral is "bacterial SSU rRNA". It matches the Rfam family "Bacterial small subunit ribosomal RNA", at positions 356 to 773 of the family's 1533-position model. The record is from RNAcentral.